This is a long non-coding RNA of Loxodonta africana (African savanna elephant), 234 nucleotides long. It matches the Rfam family "SOX2 overlapping transcript exon 1". From Rfam's summary of the family: SOX2 overlapping transcript (SOX2OT) is a long non-coding RNA, containing at least 5 exons. Lineage: Eukaryota; Metazoa; Chordata; Mammalia; Proboscidea; Elephantidae. The record is from Rfam.
ACAGCUUUGGACAAAAGUCUACAGCCAGUGCAUCUGAAACUCCCCUUCACGAGGGCUGACAGUAGCUGGGGGAAGACAUUUACUCACUUGCUGGCUCCUUUUAUACAGUCAGCUCAUCCGUUUUCUCAGGUAUAGAUCAUCUACACCUAUAUUAUAAUUUCACCUAUGUUGAUACCUGAUGAGGAAAAUCCCAGGACUUGUCAGCUGGGAUAGGCCUCGUUCCAAGACAGCUCU